Oncorhynchus mykiss (rainbow trout) is the source of this 4132-nucleotide long non-coding RNA. The record is from Ensembl. NCBI's taxonomy places the organism in Eukaryota, Metazoa, Chordata, Actinopteri, Salmoniformes, Salmonidae.
ACAAAAAAAAAGACUUUUAUGGCAACGCUACCAUGUUGCACUGCCUUGCUUUUGGAAAACCACAUCAGUGUCUGACUUUCGGCUGUCACAGAUGCGCCUCCCUUCACCUCGACUGUCGUGCACAGUCGGUGUAACAGCGCCACAUGGUGCAAAACCCGGCAGCUGCAGGUUAAGGACAGUCGUCUUACGCUCUCGGGCACGGCUUGGCACUGAUGCGUCAGCGUCUAUGGAGCAUUCGCCUGGGCUUCCAGGAGUGACAGCUUGCCAUACCCCUGCUUUCUAGGAGCAGCAUCUAUCCGGAGAUACAACACCGCUUUUCCAUACACGGGUUCCUGUUUGUUCUGGUGUAUUUUGAAGACGCAGUGAAACCGCUACUGCCAAGCUGUUAGCAGAUGUGAAGAGCUGGGACUUGGAGCCGCAGUAGAAAACGCCUGAAGGUAGAAGAGCACCGAACAAGGAUUAUCUGGGUGGAAACCGCCGACCUGCGAGUUGGGGAUCUUCGUGUGUGAGGAUGUCAGUGUUUUCGCCUCGCUGACCGCAAUGUGCUUCUCUGGGUAGCCCCCGGGCAGCGUUCCUCCUCUCUGAAAUCGCCACCUCCUCUUCCCCUCCCCCUCCCCUAUCCUUCCUCCUCUCCCCCUAUCCCUCCCCCAUCUCAUUUAGUCCCACCAACCACCAGCUGCUCCAUGGAUCCCCUGUGUCCGAGUAAUGGUGUGAGCCGGACACAGGCCCGCACCUCCGGCCAACUGUAGCCCCCCACCCCAGCCCCCCUCGGUCCCAUUAUUUUUUUAUUUUUUUGUACUGGCUUAUUUUUUCUCACAAUCCCUGGAGUUUAUUCUUGUUUGGAACCAGGGAUGGAUGUACCAUUGGAGGCCAGCAAGCAUGGCAAGAAGACGACCAGUCAAAAGCUGGAAGACCAGAAGAAGGUGUUUCCUGAGUGUUUCCUUGACUUCGAGAGAGAGAAUGAAAGAGAGAGAGAGAACACACUGUCACCACAGUACAACACACUGACAGAGUACAUGAGGCUCCCCCUGUCCCGCCUCCAUCUUCUUUCUGAGCACACCCUCAUGCGCUCACUAACCUGACCUAUCAGAGGGCAGGAUGGAGCUACUGUACCUAGGAUGGGCUUGGGGAUGGUUUGGGACUGAUCUGACUGGCUGGCUCACUCGCCAUCUCAGUUUAAAUUGGAAUUAACCACCUGCACACACACACCUAACAUAUUCUACCUCAAACGUUCCUCACAUUUCAAACCAAUGAAUAAAUUAAAACAUUGCCUUGAUCCCAGUAGUAUGGAGAUACAGCGUUGUCUCUGUAUGUUGCUAUUAGGACCCAGUCCUCCCUACUUGAUCCCAGUAGUAUGGAGAUACAGCGUUGUCUCUGUAUGUUGCUAUUAGGACCCAGUCCUCCCUACUUGAUCCCAGUAGUAUGGAGAUACAGCGUUGUCUCUGUAUGUUGCUAUUAGGACCCAGUCCUCCCUACUUGAUCCCAGUAGUAUGGAGAUACAGCGUUGUCUCUGUAUGUUGCUAUUAGGACCCAGUCCUCCCUACUUGAUCCCAGUAGUAUGGAGAUACAGCGUUGUCUCUGUAUGUUGCUAUUAGGACCCAGUCCUCCCUACUUGAUCCCAGUAGUAUGGAGAUACAGCGUUGUCUCUGUAUGUUGCUAUUAGGACCCAGUCCUCCCUACUUGAUCCCAGUAGUAUGGAGAUACAGCGUUGUCUCUGUAUGUUGCUAUUAGGACCCAGUCCUCCCUACUUGAUCCCAGUAGUAUGGAGAUACAGCGUUGUCUCUGUAUGUUGCUAUUAGGACCCAGUCCUCCCUACUUGAUCCCAGUAGUAUGGAGAUACAGCGUUGUCUCUGUAUGUUGCUAUUAGGACCCAGUCCUCCCUACUUGAUCCCAGUAGUAUGGAGAUACAGCGUUGUCUCUGUAUGUUGCUAUUAGGACCCAGUCCUCCCUACUUGAUCCCAGUAGCAUGGAGAUACAGCGUUGUCUCUGUAUGUUGCUAUUAGGACGCAGUCCUCCCUACUUGAUCCCAGUAGUAUGGAGAUACAGCGUUGUCUCUGUAUGUUGCUAUUAGGACCCAGUCCUCCCUACUUGAUCCCAGUAGUAUGGAGAUACAGCGUUGUCUCUGUAUGUUGCUAUUAGGACCCAGUCCUCCCUACUUGAUCCCAGUAGUAUGGAGAUACAGCGUUGUCUCUGUAUGUUGCUAUUAGGACCCAGUCCUCCCUACUUGAUCCCAGUAGUAUGGAGAUACAGCGUUGUCUCUGUAUGUUGCUAUUAGGACCCAGUCCUCCCUACUUGAUCCCAGUAGUAUGGAGAUACAGCGUUGUCUCUGUAUGUUGCUAUUAGGACCCAGUCCUCCCUACUUGAUCCCAGUAGUAUGGAGAUACAGCGUUGUCUCUGUAUGUUGCUAUUAGGACCCAGUCAUCCCUACUUUGCCAUAACAUUAACAUGAUUUCCAUGUCAGUAACUGCCUGGUCCUGCAACUGCCAUGAAAUGAUUUGUUAAUGCGUCCUUGGUGAUCAUGCCUUCACCAGUGUAAUAUGUACACGCUGGGUUAUCUCCCAACCUACUGGAGCAGGUAGCCUAGCGAUUAAGAGCGUUGGGCCAGUAACUGAAAGGUCGCUUGUUUGAAGCCCCAAGAUGGAAAAAUCAGCCGUUCUGCCCUUGAUCAAGGCAGUUAUUCCCCAACAACAAGUGCUAAUUCACAGGGUUUGGGUUAAAUGUUGAAGACACAUUUUGGUUGAAUGCCUUCAGUUGUGCAACUGACUAGGAAUGCUCUUUCCCUUCCCAAUAAUAAAGAGGUGUAAUGCACUUUGAUCCCCUCAUCAAAUCAAACUUUAUUUGUCACAUGCGCGGAAUACAACAAGUGUAGACCUUACCGUGAAAUGCUUUCUGACAAGCCCUGAACCAACAGUGUAGACCUUACCGUGAAAUGCUUUCUUACAAGCCCUGAACCAACAGUGUAGACCUUACAGUGAAAUGCUUUCUUACAAGCCCUUAACCAACAGUGUAGACCUUACCGUGAAAUGCUUUCUUACAAGCCCUGAACCAACAGUGUAGACCUUACAGUGAAAUGCUUUCUUACAAGCCCUUAACCAACAGUGUAGACCUUACAGUGAAAUGCUUUCUUACAAGCCCUGAACCAACAGUGUAGACCUUACCGUGAAAUGCUUUCUUACAAGCCCUGAACCAACAGUGUAGACCUUACCGUGAAAUGCUUUCUGACAAGCCCUGAACCAACAGUGUAGACCUUACCGUGAAAUGCUUUCUUACAAGCCUUUAACCAACAGUGUAGACCUUACCGUGAAAUGCUUUCUUACAAGCCUUUAACCAACAGUGUAGACCUUACCGUGAAAUGCUUUCUGACAAGCCCUGAACCAACAGUGUAGACCUUACCGUGAAAUGCUUUCUUACAAGCCUUUAACCAACAGUGUAGACCUUACCGUGAAAUGCUUUCUGACAAGCCCUUAACCAACAGUGUAGACCUUACCGUGAAAUGCUUUCUUACAAGCCCUUAACCAACAGUGUAGACCUUACCGUGAAAUGCUUUCUGACAAGCCCUUAACCAACAGUGUAGACCUUACCGUGAAAUGCUUUCUGACAAGCCCUUAACCAACAGUGUAGACCUUACCGUGAAAUGCUUUCUUACAAGCCCUGAACCAACAGUGUAGACCUUACAGUGAAAUGCUUUCUUACAAGCCCUUAACCAACAGUGUAGACCUUACCGUGAAAUGCUUUCUUACAAGCCCUUAACCAACAGUGCAGUUCAAGAAGAGUUAAGAUAAUAUUUACCAAAUAAAAGCUGUUAAAGAGCCUUUUGGACCGAGACUUGGUGCUCCGGUACCAGCGGCAGCAGAUAAAACAGUCUAUGACUUGGGUGACUGGAGUCUCUGACACCGCCUAUAAUAUAGGUCCUGGAUGGCAGGAAGCUUGGCCCCAGUGAUGUACUGGGCCGUACACACUACCCUCUGUAGCGCCUUACGGCCAGGUGUUGAUACAACCCGUCAGGAUGCUCUCGAUGGUGCAGCUUUAGAACGUUUUGAGGAUCUGGGGACCCAUGCCAAAUAUUUUCAGUCUCCUGAGGGGGAAAAGGUGUUGUCGUGCUUACUUCACAACUGUCUUGGUGUGUUUGGAC